This 423-nucleotide ribosomal RNA is filed under the name uncultured bacterium. RNAcentral's name for it is "bacterial SSU rRNA". It matches the Rfam family "Bacterial small subunit ribosomal RNA", at positions 358 to 773 of the family's 1533-position model. The record is from RNAcentral.
GGAAUAUUGGACAAUGGGGGCAACCCUGAUCCAGCACUGCCGCGUGUGUGAAGAAGGCCUGCGGGUUGUAGAGCACUUUCAGUGGGGAGGAAGGAGUUGAAGUUAAUAGCUUUAACUAUUGACGUUACCCAACGAAGACGCACCGGCUCACUCUGUGCCAGCAGCCGCGGUAAUACAGAGGGUGCAAGCGUUAAUCGGAAUUACUGGGCGUAAAGGGUGCGUAGGUGGUUUUAUAAGUCAGAUGUGAAAGCCCUGGGCUUAACCUGGGAACUGCAUUUGAAACUAUGAGGCUAGAGUAUGGUAGAGGGAAGUGGAAUUUCCGGUGUAGCGGUGAAAUGCGUAGAUAUCGGAAGGAACACCAGUGGCGAAGGCGGCUUCCUGGACCAUAACUGACACUGAGGCACGAUAGCGUGGGGAGCAAAC